Molecule: ribosomal RNA, 451 nt
Filed under: uncultured bacterium
Lineage: Bacteria
Description: partial 16S ribosomal RNA
Rfam family: Bacterial small subunit ribosomal RNA
Source: RNAcentral
GUGGGGAAUAUUGGACAAUGGGGGGAACCCUGAUCCAGCCAUGCCGCGUGUGUGAAGAAGGCCUUUUGGUUGUAAAGCACUUUAAGCGAGGAGGAGGCUACUCUAGUUAAUACCUAGAGAUAGUGGACGUUACUCGCAGAAUAAGCACCGGCUAACUCUGUGCCAGCAGCCGCGGUAAUACAGAGGGUGCAAGCGUUAAUCGGAUUUACUGGGCGUAAAGCGCGCGUAGGUGGCCAAUUAAGUCAAAUGUGAAAUCCCCGAGAUUAACUUGGGAAUUGCAUUGGGUACUGGUUGGCUAGAGUAUGGGAGAGGAUGGUAGAAUUCCAGGUGUAGCGGUGAAAUGCGUAGAGAUCUGGAGGAAUACCGAUGGCGAAGGCAGCCAUCUGGCCUAAUACUGACACUGAGGUGCGAAAGCAUGGGGAGCAAACAGGAUUAGAAACCCCAGUAGUCC